AUUGAACGCUGGCGGAAUGCUUACACAUGCAAGUCGAACGGCAGCACGGGGGCAACCCUGGUGGCGAGUGGCGAACGGGUGAGUAAUACAUCGGAACGUGCCCAGUCGUGGGGGAUAACGUAGCGAAAGUUACGCUAAUACCGCAUACGAUCUACGGAUGAAAGCGGGGGACCGUAAGGCCUCGCGCGAUUGGAGCGGCCGAUGUCAGAUUAGGUAGUUGGUGAGGUAAAGGCUCACCAAGCCGACGAUCUGUAGCUGGUCUGAGAGGACGACGAGCGACGCUGGGACUGAGACACGGCCCAGACUCCUAGGGGAGGCAGCAGUGGGGAAUUUUGGACAAUGGGCGCAAGCCUGAUCCAGCCAUUCCGCGGGCAGGACGAAGGCCUUCGGGUUGUAAACUGCUUUUGUACGGAACGAAAAGGCUCUGGUUAAUACCUGGGGCUCAUGACGGUACCGUAAGAAUAAGCACCGGCUAACUACGUGCCAGCCGCCGCCGUAA
Molecule: ribosomal RNA, 499 nt
Filed under: uncultured bacterium
Lineage: Bacteria
Description: partial 16S ribosomal RNA
Rfam family: Bacterial small subunit ribosomal RNA
Source: RNAcentral